UAAUCUGUACCAAUGCAUGCCAACCUCGCCUGCACCUAGCCUGCACCUAGCCUGCACCUACUCUGCAAGAUUCCCACGCAUGCCAACCUAAUCAAAUGUCUUCACCACCUAGUCUGCAAGAUUCCCACCUAAUCAAAUGCCAACCUAAUAUUCAAUUUUAUUUAAGCUUAAUUAUUUAUUUUAAACAACUUGAUUAACUAAAUUGAAUUAGAAACCAAUUUAAACU
RNAcentral lists this long non-coding RNA (226 nucleotides) under Lathyrus oleraceus (garden pea). Its description in RNAcentral is "Pisum sativum (pea) long non-coding RNA (PSAT_LNC023056)". Lineage: Eukaryota; Viridiplantae; Streptophyta; Magnoliopsida; Fabales; Fabaceae. The record is from RNAcentral.